This 739-nucleotide long non-coding RNA is filed under the name Cricetulus griseus (Chinese hamster). RNAcentral's name for it is "lncRNA (ENSCGRG00015034631.1)". Lineage: Eukaryota; Metazoa; Chordata; Mammalia; Rodentia; Cricetidae. The record is from RNAcentral.
AGGAAUUUGAGGCAAAAACCACAGAGGGAUGCAACUCGCUGGCUCACUCACAAGUCACGCUGGGCUGGCUCUCCUCUCACACAGACCCACUUGCCUAGCGAUGGUGCCACCCACAGCGGGCUGCGCCCUCCCUCCCAUAUCAGUUAAUGAUCAGGACAGUCCCUCACAGGCACUCCCACAGGCCACACUGAGCUGGGCAAUCCGUCAAGUGAGGCUUCCUGCUCAGGUGACUCCAGGUUGUGUCAAUCUACAGUUAAACCUAACCGAGACGGCAGGUAAAAGCAGUAGAAGAAAGGAUGGAUAGACAGAAAGACAGUCAUGCCCACAGAAAGUCCCUUGGGUGACAGCUGGACCAGUGGGCAGCCUGCAGCACGGGAGCCAAUGGGGAGCCAGGGUUCAGUAACCAUCACAGCCAGUUAAAUACAGAAACCAGAGCUUCAGAUUGAGCAGCACAGCAGAGCCAAAAGUGGCCACCCCAUGAGCGGGCUAACUGGACUGAGCCCUGCGGGCCCCGCGUGUCGACCUGAUGACCUCUCGCUACAUGGACUGCUCACUGUGCCCUGCACACCUGCGCCCUCCUCUCACCUCUCCUCACUCGUCUUUGGCACCCAAUCUUCUCAACUUUCCCUCCUUUUGCGGGAUGCCAGCUGGCACCCAGCCAGCCCUGCUCCCCCCGCCUGCUGCCCUUCCUGGACACAGGCCCAUGAAGGAUGAGGAAGGGCCCGCGGUGGCUGGCCGG